GUACACGCUGUGACUAGCAUAUCAAUAAGCGGAGGAAAAGAAACUAACAAGGAUUCCCUCAGUAACGGCGAGUGAAGCGGGAAGAGCUCAAAUUUGAAAUCUUGAAAGGUCACCUUUCACGAAUUGUAGUUUAAAGAAGUGUUUUCUGUUACGAUCGUAAUAUAAGUUCUUUGGAAUAGGACAUCACAGAGGGUGAGAAUCCCGUCUAUGAUUGCGAUUUGUAGCUUUGUGAUACACUUUCAAAGAGUCGGGUUGUUUGGGAAUGCAGCCCAAAACGGGAGGUAAAUUUCUUCUAAGGCUAAAUAUUGGCGAGAGACCGAUAGCGAACAAGUACCGUGAGGGAAAGAUGAAAAGAACUUUGAAAAGAGAGUUAAAUAGUACGUGAAAUUGUCAAAAGGGAAGCGUUUAACAGCCAGUGUUGUUUUCUGAAAAUCAACCUCUGUUAGCUUUAUGCAUGUUUGUUUAGACCUAAUCAGCUAUCUUUCAUGUUCUAUUGUUUGCAGUGGUGCACUUUUCAGUUUACAGGUCAACAUCAGUUUUUUUUACCGUAAAAAAGUUAAAGAAAGGUAGCUCAUGGCUCCGGUCGUGAGUGUUAUAGUCUUUUUCCUAUGCGGUAGGAGAGACUGAGGUCUGCAGUGUAGGCUAUUUGGCUAGAUACUCAGGUGCUAUGUAAUACCAUUUCAUAAACAACUUGUUGAUUAUGUUUUCGUCUAUUGCAUACUCGCUUGUACUAUCAUACCUACGCUUAGGAUGUUGAGUAGCGACAUACGCAC
RNAcentral lists this ribosomal RNA (773 nucleotides) under uncultured Neocallimastigales. Its description in RNAcentral is "partial large subunit ribosomal RNA". The stretch from base 4 to 662 matches the Rfam family "Eukaryotic large subunit ribosomal RNA", at positions 24 to 664 of the family's 3401-position model. The record is from RNAcentral. Lineage: Eukaryota; Fungi; Neocallimastigomycota; Neocallimastigomycetes; Neocallimastigales.